Long non-coding RNA from Drosophila subpulchrella, 1197 nucleotides. RefSeq lists it as uncharacterized. The transcript has 4 exons. Lineage: Eukaryota; Metazoa; Arthropoda; Insecta; Diptera; Drosophilidae. The record is from RefSeq and is a predicted model, not a curated record.
GGUUCAUUUCCGUACGACUUUCUGAACAGUACACAACAUAUUUUUUCUGUGUUUGCUUUUUAUAAUAUUAAAAAUUUAUUAGUGCAAAACCCGAAAUUUUUGUUAAUUCUUAUUUUUUAACAAUCCAUAAUGUUGUUGGUCCAAGUGCUGUCAAACUGUCAAUAUAUUCGAGACGUGCCUUUGCCGCAGCCGAUUUUAUUUGAAGUAAAGAAUAACGCAACAAUAUUGGAGCUCCGGCAAAAGUUGGAGCCCAUAAUCGCUGUGCCAUUGCGCCAGAUCAAUCUGCGAAAAUCUGGCAAGACAAUAAACAAUAAUAAACGGAUUUUGGAUGUCUUGGGUGCAAGGACUUCGGAAGAUUUGGAAUUUGACGCGGAACUAUCUAUUUUGAGCGGAAAUUCAUUCUUCGCCCCCUUAAAAUUUUACGGGCAGGCAUAUAAAAACGGACAACCGCUUAACCACCAAUUCUACAUGCCUCAGCAAUAAGUGAGCAAGCGCAUUCCUAGCUAUUCCAGAGCGAACAUCAGCGGGACCUUGAGGUUGGGUCAUCAGGACACUCUUGAAAUAGCCCAGGGAUCCUGUGUAAUACCGAUGUUCGAAGGCCAAUGACCCACGUCCUAUCAAUACCAGUAUAUUAUUUGACAAUAUCCCGUCAAACAGGGCAUCUGUGUCUUGGGCUGUGCUGGGUGAUAAAAUCGGCCCGAAUUCCUUUAUUUACUGAAAGUUACGAUCCCCAGAUCGCUUAUAGCUAGCCAAUGCUUUGGAGUAUUGAUAACAUGGCCCUUAGCAAAUUGCCCAAUUCGUUGACCUGUACGGCUUUGCAAAAGACUCCCCUUAAGAGCGCACCAGAAGUCUGAAGUACCCGGAAAGAAUGAUUUUUCGUUCAAAAAGUCAAAGUCAAAAAAAAUGUGUAAGUACAUCACUGAUCACAGUACAUCGGAAGUAGGCGAAAAAACAAAUAUGAUACGCGUCAAAAAAUGGGACAAUCUUUUAUUAGAAUCGGAAAAGCUGUUUUUUCGAUGAAACCGAGGAAUACGGGAAAGAAUCCAUCGACCACCACCAACAGAGAUGGUCGACUUCAUGUCCGAACAGAAAAAUUAUUAUUUUAAUUCAAGAGAAAUCAAGUCAGUGGUCUGAAAUGGUGAAGAAAUGUCUUUGAAUGAGCUGAACAAGGAAAUGCACUCCAAUGACAAAUAUCUA